UACAGAGGGGGCCAGCGUUAUUCGGAAUUAUUGGGCGUAAAGGGCGCGUAGGCGGCUUUGCGUGUCUUUCGUGAAAUCCCUCGGCUCAACUGAGGACGUGCGGAAGAAACUGCAGGGCUGGAGUCCGGGAGAGGAGGGUGGAAUUCCCAGUGUAGCGGUGAAAUGCGUAGAUAUCUGGAGGAAUACCGGUGGCGAAGGCGGCAUCCUGGACCGAGAUUGACGCUGAACGGCGAAAGCUAGGGGAGCAAACGGG
Molecule: ribosomal RNA, 253 nt
Filed under: uncultured bacterium
Lineage: Bacteria
Description: partial 16S ribosomal RNA
Rfam family: Bacterial small subunit ribosomal RNA
Source: RNAcentral